AUGUGGCUGGUCAUUCAUAAGAGAUGUUUGACUGCGGAUAACCUGCAAAAAAGGGGCUGGCCCUCAAAUGAUGUAUGCCCGUUGUGUCUCUCGGUGGCCGAAGACUGCAAUCAUCUGUUCUUAUUUUGCCGAUUCACACAGCAGGUUUGGUCCAGGUUCAGAGACUGGACGCGGGCUUAGUUCUCGAUCCUUGAUGAUCACUAUGACAGCUCUGAAUCUUGGUGGAUCAAUACUCGAAAGGAAAUUCCCAAGUCAGCUCGAAGAAAUUUUGACACCAUCACCAUUCUGAUUCACUGGAGAAUUUGGAAAGAAAGAAACGCGAGGAUUUUUGAGCAUGUGGCCAGCAAUGUGGACAGGGUGAUGGAGCUGACAAGAGAAGAUAUUUCUGUCUGGAGAGCUGCUGGUUGUGUAGGCGAUGUGUACUGA
This 426-nucleotide ribosomal RNA is filed under the name Triticum aestivum (bread wheat). RNAcentral describes it as "partial small subunit ribosomal RNA". Lineage: Eukaryota; Viridiplantae; Streptophyta; Magnoliopsida; Poales; Poaceae. The record is from RNAcentral.